UUCAUUUGCUACUAAUAAACCUCUAGAAGCUCUUCUCAUUGUCUUUGAUGAGCCUGGCCAGACUAGGCUUUAGCUCAGUCCGAACUGCAUCUUGGAUACGUGAACUAUGUCUCUGUGCUCCUCUCAAGUUAUCUGUCCUUACUUCUACCCUCUGUAUGCCUCCUUUUAGCAUUUGACUUAGGCCAGGAACUACUCAUUCAUCCAUGUGGGUCUGCUGGCACUUUUGUCUGACUUCCUCUUUGUUGGGAUGAAAUUUUCUUGAAUUUGGAGAAGGUGAUCCUGAAUAUUAACCAGACUUCUUGGGCCCUUCUUCCCUCCAGGGCCUAAACCCACAGAAGAGCACGUUUUUGUCGCUGGCAGCUCUGGUGAGAGCUUGGCAUAAAAGGGCUGUAAGUCAUACACUAUGAAGAGAGGCUUGCUUUGUCUAAUUUGGAGAAAAGGAGGCCAAGAGGUGACCUCAUUGGUCUUUACAACUUCCAGAGGAAGGGAAAUGGAGAGAGGGUCACUGAUCUCUUCUCCCUGGAAACCACAUAUAGAAGACGAGUGAAAGGCACAAAGCUGUGCCAGGGAGGUUCAGACUGGACAUUAGUAAAAAUUUGUUUGCCAUGAGGGUGGUCAAACACUGGAAGAAGCUUCCUAGCAAGGUGGUUGAUGCCCACCUUGUGUGAAGACUGUCAGCAUUCAAGAGGGAUGAAGAGCAGGAGGAAGCCAUGGGAAACCUCAGAAGAAGCUUCAGAGUCCAUAGCAGCCUGCUGAAUCCAGCAAAGGAGCAGUUUAUCUUCUCCAAGGUUCUCAGGACUAAGUGGACUGGAAGAGCUCUCCUUUCCGAGUUCAGAGGCCUAAAGUGGGUCUUGUUUGAGAAGCUAUACCUCAUGUAUAUGAACAGCAUUGUGUUCUCCACCUUGUUCAUCCUUUGCUCCUUUUGAUCUGAGGACUCGGCUCGUGUGUGGUGACAGCAAGGCAACAUGAACCCAGGGCACUUGCCCUACUGCUGUGGUCAGACCUUGAUCUCCUCAUCAUAAACUGUCUGAAGAAGGUCUCCUAUUGAAAAAGCUUAAGAAUAACUGUAUAGAGCACAAAUGUAAAUUUCCAGAUUAAAUUCUAAACUUCAAAUGUUGACUGCAGUGCUUAUGUACUGUCAUGAUGUCUUCAACGAAAGUUUUUGUUUGGUUUGAUUUAAUUUCAAGA
Molecule: long non-coding RNA, 1188 nt
Filed under: Cairina moschata (Muscovy duck)
Lineage: Eukaryota; Metazoa; Chordata; Aves; Anseriformes; Anatidae
Description: domestica (muscovy Duck (domestic type)) lncRNA (ENSCMMG00000003115.1)
Source: RNAcentral